AACGCACAUUGCACUCUCUGGUAUUCCGGAGAGUAUGCUUGUUUGAGUAUCUGUAAACAUCUCAAAUCUCUCUUCAAUUGUUGAGAGAAUUGGAUUUGAGCGAUCCCGACUCCUUCGUCAGAAAGAGGAGGGUCGCUUGAAAUGCAGGUGCAGCUGGACAUUCUUCUGAGCAAAAAGCAUAUCUAUUUAGUCCCGUCAAACGGAUUAUUACUUUUGCUUCAGCUAAUAUAAAGGUUGAAUGAACUACCAACGCUGAUUGCAGGAAAACAUGUUCGUUUAUUCGGACUUGUAAACUCGAUCUCAAAUCAAGUAAGACUACCCGCUGAACUUAA
Molecule: unclassified non-coding RNA, 332 nt
Filed under: uncultured Mortierella
Lineage: Eukaryota; Fungi; Mortierellomycota; Mortierellomycetes; Mortierellales; Mortierellaceae
Description: sequence contains ITS2
Source: RNAcentral